AGUGGCAGACGGGUGAGUAAUGUAUAGGAAUCUACCUAGUAGUACGGAAUAAUUGUUGGAAACGGCAACUAAUACCGUAUACGCCCUACGGGGGAAAAAUUUAUUGCUGUUAGAUGAGCCUAUAUUAGAUUAGUUAGUUGGUGAGGUAAAGGCUUACCAAGACAAUGAUCUAUAGCUGAUCUGAGAGGAUGAUCAGCCACACUGGAACUGAGAUACGGUCCAGACUCCUACGGGAGGCAGCAGUGGGGAAUAUUGGACAAUGGGCGAAAGCCUGAUCCAGCUAUGCCGCAUGAGUGAAGAAGGCCUUCGGGUUGUAAAGCUCUUUUAGUGAGGAAGAUAACGACGGUACUCACAGAAGAAGUCCUGGCUAACUCCGUGCCAGCAGCCGCGGUAAUACGGAGAGGGCUAGCGUUAUUCGGAAUUAUUGGGCGUAAAGGGCGCGUAGGCGGGUUAAUAAGUUAAAAGUGAAAUCCCAAGGCUCAACCUUGGAACUGCUUUUAAAACUGCUAGUCUAGAGAUUGAAAGAGGAUAGAGGAAUUCCUAGUGUAGAGGUGAAAUUCGUAAAUAUUANGAGGAACACCAGUGGCGAANGCGUCUAUCUGGNUCAAAUCUGACGCUGANGCGCGAAGGCGUGGGGAGCAAACNGGAUUAGAUACCC
RNAcentral lists this ribosomal RNA (658 nucleotides) under uncultured Wolbachia sp. Its description in RNAcentral is "bacterial SSU rRNA". It matches the Rfam family "Bacterial small subunit ribosomal RNA", at positions 94 to 787 of the family's 1533-position model. Lineage: Bacteria; Pseudomonadati; Pseudomonadota; Alphaproteobacteria; Rickettsiales; Anaplasmataceae. The record is from RNAcentral.